UACGGGGGGAGCAAGCGUUGUUCGGAUUUACUGGGCGUAAAGGGCGCGUAGGCGGCUGUGCAAGUCAGGUGUGAAAGCCCUGGGCUCAACCCAGGAUGUGCACUUGAUACUGCACGGCUAGAGUGUCGGAGAGGAUGGUGGAAUUCCCAGUGUAGAGGUGAAAUUCGUAGAUAUUGGGAAGAACACCGGUGGCGAAGGCGACCAUCUGGACGACAACUGACGCUGAGGCGCGAAAGCUAGGGGAGCAAACGGG
RNAcentral lists this ribosomal RNA (253 nucleotides) under uncultured bacterium. RNAcentral describes it as "partial 16S ribosomal RNA". It matches the Rfam family "Bacterial small subunit ribosomal RNA", at positions 524 to 776 of the family's 1533-position model. The record is from RNAcentral.